Molecule: long non-coding RNA, 571 nt
Organism: Strongylocentrotus purpuratus (purple sea urchin)
Lineage: Eukaryota; Metazoa; Echinodermata; Echinoidea; Camarodonta; Strongylocentrotidae
Exons: 2
Source: RefSeq, a predicted model, not a curated record
GGCUCAGAGGUUCAAGCCUCGUAGUGUCCUAGGUUAGGUAGGAAGCACUUAUCAGUCAUUCUUGAUGGAUGUAAUUUUGGGUGAGUGGUUCAGAGGUUCAAGCCUCGAUCGUAGUGUCCUAGGUAGGAAGCACCUAUCAGUCAUUCUUGAUGGAUGUGAUUUUGGGUGAGUGGCUCAGAGGUUCAAGCCUCGUAGUGAGUGUCCUAGGGAGGAAGCACCUAUCGGUCAUUUUUGAUGGAUGUGAUUUUGGGAUCUCUGGUGGAUCCUGUGGUUGUGUGGUCAGUGGUAGAUUGGGGAAGGGGGAGACACGUGCUCACAAAUGAUUCAUAGAAUGUAGCACAUUUCUGUUGACAGGGGAGGAGAGGGAGGGGAGGGGGAAGCACAUGUCCUCUGUUAUUCCAUAGAUCUGCCACUGGUGACUGUGUGUGUGUGUGUGUGGUUGUGUUUGUCUUUUGGAUGCGUUUUUCUUUUGGGUGCGUGAGUGAGAGACAAAGAAUACCUUGCUUUGAACAUUUGAAAUUGCUUUUACAAAUUCAGAAUCAUGAAAAAAUUCCAUAUGAAAUGCUACCAA